This 468-nucleotide ribosomal RNA is filed under the name uncultured bacterium. RNAcentral's name for it is "partial 16S ribosomal RNA". It matches the Rfam family "Bacterial small subunit ribosomal RNA", at positions 28 to 507 of the family's 1533-position model. The record is from RNAcentral.
GACGAACGCUGGCGGCGUGCUUAACACAUGCAAGUCGAACGGAAAGGCCCUGCUUUUGUGGGGUGCUCGAGUGGCGAACGGGUGAGUAACACGUGAGUAACCUGCCCUUGACUUUGGGAUAACUUCAGGAAACUGGGGCUAAUACCGGAUAGGAGCUCCUGCUGCAUGGUGGGGGUUGGAAAGUUUCGGCGGUUGGGGAUGGACUCGCGGCUUAUCAGCUUGUUGGUGGGGUAGUGGCUUACCAAGGCUUUGACGGGUAGCCGGCCUGAGAGGGUGACCGGCCACAUGGGGACUGAGAUACGGCCCAGACUCCUACGGUAGGCAGCAGUGGGGAAUAUUGCACAAUGGGCGGAAGCCUGAUGCAGCAACGCCGCGUGCGGGAUGACGGCCUUCGGGGUGUAAACCGCUUUCGCCUGUGACGAAGCGUGAGUGACGGUAAUGGGUAAAGAAGCACCGGCUAACUACGUG